CCAGGUAAUACUCCUGGAACAGCCCACUCACCACUAAGAUCCUUGUUGGACUUCGAGGGACCCUCCCCCAUCAAGUCUCACGUCAGGUGUUCUGAUGGAAAAUCCUGCUUCCUCAGUGUUGCUUAGAAAUUACAACAAGCUUGAAUCUGAAGAAUCUGUCUCCAGAAACAUAAUUGGACCAUGCAAGAAAGAGAAAAAGGAUGACAGAGGAAAUGGCAUGAUCUACAGAUCUUUGUUUACAAGAACAUUUUCCCAUCAACUGUCUUUAGAAAUAUAAUUUCCAUUUUGCCUUAAAGAACAGUCAGACAAUGUUGUUUAACACAUAUUCUUCCUUGUCAAACAUUUCACUUAUUCCACAUGUUGUAGACAGCUUAAUAAGAGGUAUUUCACCCUUAGAAUGUUGCUAAAGCUGUAUGUCAUUUUCUUCCCAUUUCACAUGACAUUUGUUGCAGCAAGAGAACCAGAUACCUCAUAAGUAACAUCACCUUUGGCAAUUUUAACUCCAUUCAUGCUUCUGUCCUUAGCAAAAAUGAAAAGAAAAUCGCAUCCAUUUUUUACAUUAUUUUUUUUAACAGCCUUAAGUACUUACAAAUUAGGUGAAAGUUGCAUCUUUUUGCUCCCUAUUAUUAAGUAAGUGUAAUCAAGAGGGGUCCAUGUUGAUGGGAGGUGUCAAUACAAAAUACAUUUGAUGUAACCUUAUAACUUGC
Alligator mississippiensis (American alligator) is the source of this 707-nucleotide long non-coding RNA. RefSeq lists it as uncharacterized. The record is from RefSeq and is a predicted model, not a curated record. The transcript is spliced from 2 exons. NCBI's taxonomy places the organism in Eukaryota, Metazoa, Chordata, Crocodylia, Alligatoridae.